AACUUGGACUUUCGAAGCUGCACUUUCAUAUGGCUCUUUGAAGUUUUCCCUACUUAAAGCUAAUGUACUUGCACUUACUACUUGUUGUCUGGAGUUUGAACC
Molecule: long non-coding RNA, 102 nt
Organism: Etheostoma spectabile (orangethroat darter)
Lineage: Eukaryota; Metazoa; Chordata; Actinopteri; Perciformes; Percidae
Exons: 3
Source: RefSeq, a predicted model, not a curated record